RNAcentral lists this ribosomal RNA (790 nucleotides) under uncultured Actinomycetes bacterium. RNAcentral's name for it is "bacterial SSU rRNA". It matches the Rfam family "Bacterial small subunit ribosomal RNA", at positions 1 to 812 of the family's 1533-position model. The record is from RNAcentral. Lineage: Bacteria; Bacillati; Actinomycetota; Actinomycetes.
AGAGGUUUGAUCCUGGCUCAGAAUCAACGCUGGCGGCGUGCCUAACACAUGCAAGUCGAACGAGAAAGUGGAGCAAUCCAUGAGUAAAGUGGCGACCGGGUGAGUAACACGUGACUAACCUACCUUCGAGUGGGGGAUAACCUCGGGAAACCGAGGCUAAUACCGCAUAACAUCGCAAGAUCAAAGCAGCAAUGCGCUGGAAGAGGGGGUCGCGGCUGAUUAGCUAGUUGGCGGGGUAAUGGCCCACCAAGGCGAAGAUCGGUAGCCGGCCUGAGAGGGCGCACGGCCACACUGGAACUGAAACACGGUCCAGACUCCUACGGGAGGCAGCAGUGGGGAAUUUUGCGCAAUGGGGGAAACCCUGACGCAGCAACGCCGCGUGGAGGAUGAAGCCCCUUGGGGUGUAAACUCCUUUCGACCAAGACGAUAAUGACGGUACUGGUGGAAGAAGCACCGGCUAACUCUGUGCCAGCAGCCGCGGUAAUACAGAGGGUGCGAGCGUUGUUCGGAAUUAUUGGGCGUAAAGGGUGCGUAGGCGGUGCCACAAGUCACUUGUGAAAUCUCCGGGCUUAACCCGGAGCCUGCAGGCGAAACUGUGGUGCUGGAGUAUGGGGAGAGGUGCGUGGGAAUUCCCGGUGUAAGCCGGGGAAAUGCGUAAGAUAAUUCGGGGAGGAACACCUGUUGGCGAAAGCGGCGCACUGGGACCAUAAACUGACGCUGAUGCACGAAAGCUAAGGGGAAGCAAAACAGGAUUAGAAUUACCCUGGGAAGUCCUAGCCCUAAACGGAAG